RNAcentral lists this ribosomal RNA (492 nucleotides) under uncultured bacterium. RNAcentral describes it as "partial 16S ribosomal RNA". It matches the Rfam family "Bacterial small subunit ribosomal RNA", at positions 30 to 523 of the family's 1533-position model. The record is from RNAcentral.
AUUGAACGCUGGCGGCAUGCUUUACACAUGCAAGUCGAACGGUAACAGGUUAAGCUGACGAGUGGCGAACGGGUGAGUAAUGCAUCGGAACGUGCCCGAUCGUGGGGGAUAACGCAGCGAAAGCUGCGCUAAUACCGCAUACGAUCUGAGGAUGAAAGCGGGGGACCGUAAGGCCUCGCGCGAUCGGAGCGGCCGAUGUCAGAUUAGGUAGUUGGUGGGGUAAAGGCUACCAAGCCAACGAUCUGUAGCUGGUCUGAGAGGACGACCAGCCACACUGGGACUGAGACACGGCCCAGACUCCUACGGGAGGCAGCAGUGGGGAAUUUUGGACAAUGGGCGAAAGCCUAAUCCAGCAAUGCCGCGUGCAGGAAGAAGGCCUUCGGGUUGUAAACUGCUUUUGUACGGAGCGAAAAGGCCCUCUCUAAUACAGGGGGUUUAUGACGGUACCGUAAGAAUAAGCACCGGCUAACUACGUGCCAGCCGCCGCCGUAA